GAUGAACGCUGGCGGCGUGCCUAAUACAUGCAAGUCGAGCGAACAGAUAAGGAGCUUGCUCCUUUGACGUUAGCGGCGGACGGGUGAGUAACACGUGGGUAACCUACCUAUAAGACUGGGAUAACUUCGGGAAACCGGAGCUAAUACCGGAUAACAUUUGGAACCGCAUGGUUCUAAAGUGAAAGAUGGUUUUGCUAUCACUUAUAGAUGGACCCGCGCCGUAUUAGCUAGAUGGUAAGGUAACGGCUUACCAAGGCAACGAUACGUAGCCGACCUGAGAGGGUGAUCGGCCACACUGGAACUGAGACACGGUCCAGACUCCUACGGGAGGCAGCAGUAGGGAAUCUUCCGCAAUGGGCGAAAGCCUGACGGAGCAACGCCGCGUGAGUGAUGAAGGGUUUCGGCUCGUAAAACUCUGUUAUUAGGGAAGAACAAACGUGUAAGUAACUGUGCACGUCUUGACGGUACCUAAUCAGAAAGCCACGGCUAACUACGUG
RNAcentral lists this ribosomal RNA (497 nucleotides) under uncultured bacterium. Its description in RNAcentral is "partial 16S ribosomal RNA". It matches the Rfam family "Bacterial small subunit ribosomal RNA", at positions 28 to 507 of the family's 1533-position model. The record is from RNAcentral.